UACGUAGGGGGCUAGCGUUGUCCGGAUUUAUUGGGCGUAAAGAGCUCGUAGGCGGCUCAUCGCGUCAACCGUGAAAACCAGCAGCUCAACUGUUGGCUUGCGGUUGAUACGGGUGGGCUGGAGUUCGGUAGGGGAGACUGGAAUUCCUGGUGUAGCGGUGAAAUGCGCAGAUAUCAGGAGGAACACCGGUGGCGAAGGCGGUUCUCUGGGCAUUACCUGACGCUGAGGAGCGAAAGUGUGGGGAGCGAACAGG
This 253-nucleotide ribosomal RNA is filed under the name uncultured bacterium. Its description in RNAcentral is "partial 16S ribosomal RNA". It matches the Rfam family "Bacterial small subunit ribosomal RNA", at positions 524 to 776 of the family's 1533-position model. The record is from RNAcentral.